AAGCCGUGGUGGGGGCAUAGUCUCAAUAGCUCCUUAAAUCUGUCCCAUGCAUUGUACAAGGAUUCAUUAUCUUUUUAAGCAAAGCUAGUGACCUGAUUUCUUAAAU
Molecule: small nucleolar RNA, 106 nt
Organism: Dioscorea cayenensis subsp. rotundata (Guinea yam)
Lineage: Eukaryota; Viridiplantae; Streptophyta; Magnoliopsida; Dioscoreales; Dioscoreaceae
Source: RefSeq, a predicted model, not a curated record